UACCUACGGGACGCAGCAGUAGGGAAUUUUCGUCAAUGGGCGCAAGCCUGAACGAGCAAUGCCGCGUGAACGAGGAAGGUCUUCGGAUCGUAAAGUUCUGUUGAAGGGGAAAAAGAGCGGAGAGAGGAAAUGGUCUCCGAUUGAUAUUACCCUUCGAGGAAGUCACGGCUAACUACGUGCCAGCAGCCGCGGUAAUACGUAGGUGGCAAGCGUUGUCCGGAUUUAUUGGGCGUAAAGCGAGUGCAGGCGGUUCAAUAAAUCUGAUGUGAAAGCCUUCGGCUCAACCGGAGAAUUGCAUCACAAAA
This 305-nucleotide ribosomal RNA is filed under the name uncultured bacterium. RNAcentral describes it as "bacterial SSU rRNA". It matches the Rfam family "Bacterial small subunit ribosomal RNA", at positions 335 to 633 of the family's 1533-position model. The record is from RNAcentral.